CGUAGGUGGCAAGCGUUAUCCGGAAUUACUGGGUGUAAAGGGCGUGUAGGCGGGGAUGUAAGUCAGAUGUGAAAUGCUGGGGCUCAACUCCAGAGCUGCAUCUGAAACUAUAUCUCUUGAGUACUGGAGAGGAAAGCGGAAUUCCUAGUGUAGCGGUGAAAUGCGUAGAUAUUAGGAGGAACACCAGUGGCGAAGGCGGCUUUCUGGACAGUAACUGACGCUGAGGCGCGAAAGCGUGGGGAGCAAACAGGAUUAGAUACCCUGGUAGUCCACGCUGUAAACGAUGGAUACUAGGUGUAGGAGGUAUCGACCCCUUCUGUGCCGGAGUUAACACAAUAAGUAUCCCACCUGGGGAGUACGGCCGCAAGGUUG
This 372-nucleotide ribosomal RNA is filed under the name uncultured organism. Its description in RNAcentral is "bacterial SSU rRNA". It matches the Rfam family "Bacterial small subunit ribosomal RNA", at positions 526 to 896 of the family's 1533-position model. The record is from RNAcentral.